ACGGGAGGCAGCAGUGAGGAAUAUUGGUCAAUGGGCGGAAGCCUGAACCAGCCAAGUCGCGUGAAGGAUGAAGGUAUUAUGUAUUGUAAACUUCUUUAGCUGUGGAGCAAUAAUCUCCAUGUAUGGAGAGCUGAGAGUACACAGAGAAUAAGGAUCGGCUAACUCCGUGCCAGCAGCCGCGGUAAUACGGAGGAUCCGAGCGUUAUCCGGAUUUAUUGGGUUUAAAGGGUGCGCAGGCGGCUUUCUAAGUCAGUGGUCAAAUCGUGGUGCUCAACGCCAUCCCGCCAUUGAUACUGGAGAGCUUGAUUGCGGUCGAGGUUUGCGGAAUUCGUCGUGUAGCGGUGAAAUGCAUAGAUAUGACGAAGAACACCGAUUGCGUAGGCAGCAGACCAGGCCGUAAAUGACGCUCAUGCACGAAAGUGCGGGGAUCGAACAGGAUUAGAUACCCUGGUA
This 453-nucleotide ribosomal RNA is filed under the name uncultured Porphyromonadaceae bacterium. RNAcentral's name for it is "partial 16S ribosomal RNA". It matches the Rfam family "Bacterial small subunit ribosomal RNA", at positions 341 to 792 of the family's 1533-position model. Lineage: Bacteria; Pseudomonadati; Bacteroidota; Bacteroidia; Bacteroidales; Porphyromonadaceae. The record is from RNAcentral.